This is a long non-coding RNA of Lolium perenne, 416 nucleotides long. RefSeq lists it as uncharacterized. The record is from RefSeq and is a predicted model, not a curated record. Lineage: Eukaryota; Viridiplantae; Streptophyta; Magnoliopsida; Poales; Poaceae.
GCUAUCUUCGCGUGGUGGAUGGAUCAACAUUCAUGAUGACACCUGGGACAAAUCCUCAAGCCACAAUCAUGAUGAUGGGCAGGUAUGUGGGGUUGAAGAUGAUUGGGGAUCGGCACAGCAGAAGGCUAGUGAACAACACAUCAUCAUAACCAACACACUCCCAAUGCUUCUGAAAUCCAAUAACAACAAGUAUUUCAGUGACAUCGUACAAAGUGCGCCGUAUUGCUCUUCCAUACAUCCAGUGCAUAACAUACUGCCACUGCUACCUUUUUGUUAGUGAUACAAAACGUGUAGGGGUAAUAAUGAUCUGUAUAUACUACUGUACAGUGAUAAGCAUGAAUGAGGAAAGGAAAUCACGAGUUGCCUAGUUAUUACGUUUUUGCAAAGCGAAUGGUACAGGACAGGCGAUUGCUGCA